UACGGGGGGGGCAAGCGUUGUUCGGAAUUACUGGGCGUAAAGGGCUCGUAGGUGGCCAACUAAGUCGGACGUGAAAUCCCCCGGCUUAACCGGGGAACUGCGUCCGAUACUGGUUGGCUUGAGUUUGGGAGAGGGAUGCGGAAUUCCAGGUGUAGCGGUGAAAUGCGUAGAUAUCGGGAAGAACACCUGUGGCGAAGGCGGCUCUCUGGGACGGUACUGACGCUGAGACGCGAAAGCGUGGGGAGCAAACAGG
This 253-nucleotide ribosomal RNA is filed under the name uncultured bacterium. RNAcentral's name for it is "partial 16S ribosomal RNA". It matches the Rfam family "Bacterial small subunit ribosomal RNA", at positions 524 to 776 of the family's 1533-position model. The record is from RNAcentral.